GACGAACGCUGGCGGCGUGCUUAACACAUGCAAGUCGAGCGGUAAGGCCCUUUCGGGGGUACACGAGCGGCGAACGGGUGAGUAACACGUGGGUGACCUGCCCUCAGCUCUGGGAUAAGCCUGGGAAACCGGGUCUAAUACCGGAUAUGACUCCAUGACGCAUGUUGUGGGGUGGAAAGCCUUGUGCGGCUGAGGAUGGGCCCGCGGCCUAUCAGCUUGUUGGUGGGGUGAUGGCCUACCAAGGCGACGACGGGUAGCCGGCCUGAGAGGGCGACCGGCCACACUGGGACUGAGACACGGCCCAAACUCCUACGGGAGGCAGCAGUGGGGAAUAUUGGACAAUGGGCGAAAGCCUGAUCCAGCCAUGCCGCGUGAGUGAU
RNAcentral lists this ribosomal RNA (380 nucleotides) under uncultured bacterium. Its description in RNAcentral is "bacterial SSU rRNA". It matches the Rfam family "Bacterial small subunit ribosomal RNA", at positions 28 to 409 of the family's 1533-position model. The record is from RNAcentral.